This 742-nucleotide long non-coding RNA is filed under the name Homo sapiens (human). Its description in RNAcentral is "HSALNT0366954". Lineage: Eukaryota; Metazoa; Chordata; Mammalia; Primates; Hominidae. The record is from RNAcentral.
CUGGAACUGGGAUGAUCCUUCAGAGCUAGACCUUUCUUCCUAUUCAUCUAACAGUGAUUGGAUAUGGGGAGCUGUCUAUAGGAAGCGGGGGUGAUCUUGGGUGAGAAUGCUCUCUUCUGCUGAGAACAACUGCCAGAGGACUCAACUGAGCACCUUUAACCAUUAGCUGAGGCUUCUUAGCAGGUCUAGUGGCACUUGAAUCUUUAGCACAACAGGGAGCCUCUGUGCCCAGGGUUCAGUGGCUUCCAGGAAUUCUUCCCAGAAUAAACCUCAACAUUCUGCAGUCUUCAUGGGUGCUGGCGCAAGUUGCUUUUCAAGUUCUUCAUACUCUACUGACCUCAGACUUCUUCUCAGCCCGAGGAAAACAGCUUCCUCUUCCUCCUGGCCAUUCACCAAGACACACCAUUCUCUUCUCUCCUUGUCCAGGGCGCUUAGCAUGGUCACUUCCAAAGUUUGUGCAUUUUCAAAAGAAAAUGAAGACAUCCUUCCAUGCUGUUGCAAACAUGCCCUGAGGCAAGAAAUCACAAAGGCUCUUUGGAAAACAGGAAUAAGUGACUGCAGUCUGCCAUAGCAACUCAAGUAAUGCAACUUUACUCAGCAUGGACCGUCACUUUCUCCAGACUUCUAAGAGAUGCCAUAGCAGAAAAUUUAUGCCUUUCCCUGCAGUCCUUGUCAAGUGUUAAAUCCCAUGGCCUUAUAUCCUGAGAGGAUGGCUCUAAAUCAAUAAACUCUCCUUUAUCUA